This is a long non-coding RNA of Gallus gallus (chicken), 344 nucleotides long. The record is from Ensembl. NCBI's taxonomy places the organism in Eukaryota, Metazoa, Chordata, Aves, Galliformes, Phasianidae.
CCUGACUAGGCAGGGCCACUCAGGUGCUGGUGCUUUCUUUGGUUGGGAGUGGCUGGGAGAACCUGCUCUUGUCUUUACAAGCCGCUUCCAAAUCCUACUCAGCUCUCCCCAGAGGAGCCUGUCAGUAUGUGUCAGUUGUGUCCUGACACACAUCAAAGGUAUUUUGGAAUGAAAUCCAGAAGUGUUGAAGUUGUAACAACCCCUUAGAAGCCUGGCAAGCAAACUUAGAGCACCAGCUUGUAUUUAUAGCCACUGUCAUCUCCGCCAAAGAGUAACCUAUUUUAGCUAUCAGAAGUGUAUUUUCUCUAAAUGGGUCAGAGUUCUGCAGUCCCAUGACUUCUUAC